RNAcentral lists this ribosomal RNA (460 nucleotides) under uncultured Chitinophagaceae bacterium. RNAcentral's name for it is "bacterial SSU rRNA". It matches the Rfam family "Bacterial small subunit ribosomal RNA", at positions 338 to 795 of the family's 1533-position model. The record is from RNAcentral. Lineage: Bacteria; Pseudomonadati; Bacteroidota; Chitinophagia; Chitinophagales; Chitinophagaceae.
CCUACGGGCGGCUGCAGUGGGGAAUAUUGGGCAAUGGAGGCAACUCUGACCCAGCCAUGCCGCGUGAAGGAUGAAGGUCCUACGGAUUGUAAACUUCUUUUAUUAGGGAAGAAACCCUUGAAUUCAUUCGAGGCUGACGGUACCUAAGGAAUAAGCACCGGCUAACUCCGUGCCAGCAGCCGCGGUAAUACGGAGGGUGCAAGCGUUAUCCGGAUUCACUGGGUUUAAAGGGUGCGUAGGUGGAUCGAUAAGUCAGUGGUGAAAGCCCCGAGCUCAACUUGGGAAUUGCCAUUGAUACUGUUGAUCUUGAGUGCGGUUGAGGUAGACGGAAUAUGUCAUGUAGCGGUGAAAUGCUUAGAUAUGACAUAGAACACCAAUUGCGAAGGCAGUUUACCAAGCCGAUACUGACACUGAGGCACGAAAGCGUGGGGAUCAAACAGGAUUAGAUACCCCGGUAGUC